Molecule: transfer RNA, 74 nt
Filed under: Actinomycetales bacterium
Lineage: Bacteria; Bacillati; Actinomycetota; Actinomycetes; Actinomycetales
Also listed under: 1 other name
Description: tRNA-Met
Rfam family: tRNA
About the family: Transfer RNA (tRNA) molecules are approximately 80 nucleotides in length. Their secondary structure includes four short double-helical elements and three loops (D, anti-codon, and T loops).
Source: RNAcentral
GGCUGGGUAGCUCAGUUGGUUAGAGCACACGACUCAUAAUCGUGGGGUCGCGGGUUCAAGUCCCGCUCCAGCUA